RNAcentral lists this long non-coding RNA (423 nucleotides) under Phoenix dactylifera (date palm). RNAcentral's name for it is "long non-coding RNA (PDAC_LNC022843)". Lineage: Eukaryota; Viridiplantae; Streptophyta; Magnoliopsida; Arecales; Arecaceae. The record is from RNAcentral.
GCCAACGGAAGGCUUUUUGGUUUGAAGGCGGGAGAAGGUGUGGGGAAUUAACUUAACUGUUUUCCAUCUUGUUUCAUUUUGCCAUAGCUUGUGGGGAAUUAAGUUAACUGUUUUCUUUGUUUAUGAAUGCCUUGUUCUGCUCCAGUGUGCCAUCUUCUUCCGUUUUGCCUUAGGGUGUGGGGAAUUAAGAUCAGGUGUGCCUCUAACUUUGUUUUAACAGAGAUAUUUUGCUGAUGUGCCUCUGAUUCUGCACUCUUCGUCUGACUUUGUUAUAACAGAGCUGAGGUCCAAGAAUUGUCGCCAAAUCAUUUGUGCUGAUCCCUCCUAUUUUCAUUAUGAUGGCUUCAAAGAACAGUAGUAGCCCGGUUUUGAUGGCCAUUUGUUGUUACGGUAGCGAAGCUGUUAUUAUUUCCAUAUGUGUAG